AUUGAACGCUGGCGGCAGGCCUAACACAUGCAAGUCGAGCGGAUGAAGGGAGCUUUCUCCUGGAUUCAGCUGCGGACGGGUGAGUAAUGCCUAGGAAUCUGCCUUGUAUUUGGGGAUAACGUCCGGAAACGGGCGCUAAUACCGCAUACGUCCUGAUGGUGAAAGUGGUGGAUCUUCGGACCUCACGCUAUCAGAUGAGCCUAGGUCGGAUUAGCUAGUUGGUGGGGUAAAGGCCUACCAAGGCGACGAUCCGUAACUGGUCUGAGAGGAUGAUCAGUCACACUGGAACUGAGACACGGUCCAGACUCCUACGGGAGGCAGCAGUGGGGAAUAUUGGACAAUGGGCGAAAGCCUGAUCCAGCCAUGCCGCGUGUGUGAAGAAGGUCUUCGGAUUGUAAAGCACUUUAAGUUGGGAGGAAGGGAAGUAAGUUAAUACCUUGAUGUUUUGACGUUACCAACAGAAUAAGCACCGGCUAACUUCGUG
This 484-nucleotide ribosomal RNA is filed under the name uncultured bacterium. RNAcentral's name for it is "partial 16S ribosomal RNA". It matches the Rfam family "Bacterial small subunit ribosomal RNA", at positions 30 to 507 of the family's 1533-position model. The record is from RNAcentral.